Molecule: long non-coding RNA, 526 nt
Filed under: Actinidia chinensis (golden kiwifruit)
Lineage: Eukaryota; Viridiplantae; Streptophyta; Magnoliopsida; Ericales; Actinidiaceae
Description: long non-coding RNA (ACHI_LNC008214)
Source: RNAcentral
GUCGAAAUUGGCGAUUCAAAAGUCCAAAUUAAUCUAUACAUUCAGGGAUACAAUUUUUUUGAAGGAUGCAAGGCCAGAAAAGAUCUUUUUCAAUACGAAAACUCUGAUGGAAGUUGGCAAGCGAGUUUGUUUCUGAAUCUGGUGGGAAAUUUACGGAAUUGGGAGUCCUAUUGUUUAAGAGGAAAUAUGUUGGGAUUGGAGAGAUUUUCUCUACAGCAUCAAAUCUCCUAAUUUUUAGAAUUAAUAUCUUAUCAUUAAGGCUACCUUUUUUAGGUUAAAUAGGGAAAAAAGGAACCAAGGGGAUCAUUCCAUUUCCUCUCUUAUUUCUUUUACUUUUGAAAAUUCUUUGAGGAUGAGCAGAUGAUCCUUUUGUUCGGUUCAAGGGGAAUAGAAUCCAUCACCAUAUUCGGUUGUGAGAAGUAAAGCUUACUAUUAUGAUUCUUUCAUAUUCAAGUAUUUAUUCAUCCUUAUUUUAAUUUUUAUUCUGCUGAAUUCUAUCCAUGCUAAUGGAAUUGGUUUUGAGAUG